RNAcentral lists this ribosomal RNA (253 nucleotides) under uncultured bacterium. RNAcentral describes it as "partial 16S ribosomal RNA". It matches the Rfam family "Bacterial small subunit ribosomal RNA", at positions 524 to 776 of the family's 1533-position model. The record is from RNAcentral.
UACGUAGGUGGCAAGCGUUGUCCGGAUUUAUUGGGUUUAAAGGGUGCGUAGGCGGCCCUGUAAGUCAGUGCUGAAAUAUCCCAGCUUAACUGGGAGGGUGGCAUUGAUACUGCGGGGCUAGAGUACAGAUGAGGUAGGCGGAAUUGACGGUGUAGCGGUGAAAUGCUUAGAUAUGACAUAGAACACCAAUUGCGAAGGCAGCUGGCUACACAAAUAUUGACACUGAGGCACGAAAGCGUGGGGAUCAAACAGG